GAUGUUUGGAUCAUGUGAAGACAUGGAACAAAUAGGAAUCUCUAUAUAUAGUUUUGUGUGUUCAUGGACAUAUUGAUUUUAAUCUUUAUGACCAAAAGUUGAUGCUCUAUGCAUGACCAAACAAAAGCCCUUUUUUACUAAAGAAAAAGGCUCCAUUCAACAGGCCCAAAAAACGAACCACUAUCUCACUCUUUAAUUGUCAUAACCAAGGCACAAAAACAAAACUUAAGGAAGGUUCAUACUUCAUAUUCGCAGAAAAAGGUUCAUACUUCAUAUUCGCAGAAAACCAGCAAAAAGAAAAAAGAAAUGUUGAGAAGUCUUCAACUGGAGUCUGGUUACAGAAUCAUCUUAGCUUUGAGACUCUCUUCCCUGCUAAUUUUCUUUUCUUCGGUUCUGAGUGCUCGUGGCUACCCUUCAAGAGCUCAUAUCUUCAUAUAUGCAGUCUGUUCUCAAGAAAAAUACCAACCAAACUCACCCUUUGAAGGCAACCUUAACAGCUUUCUGUCUUCAGUUGUCAGUUCAUCCUCUGAUAUAACUUACAAUAGUUUUGCUGUUGGAAAUGGAAGCCUAACACCGCAAGAAGGAAGUGUAUACGGCUUAUAUCAGUGCAGAGGCGAUUUGCAUCCAAUUGAUUGCUCAAAGUGUGUAGGAAGACUUGUUAACCAAAUAGGGUUGGUUUGUCCCUAUGCCCUUGGGGCUUCUUUGCAACUUGAAGGCUGCCUUGUAAGAUAUGAGCAUGCUGGUGAUUUCCUGGGCAAACUGGACACCAGUCUCAGAUAUAAGAAAUGUAGUAAAGCCGCGACUAGCGACGUCGAGUUCUUCCAUCGCAGAGACGAUGUUCUUGCUGAUUUGCAAACAGCUAAUGGAUUUAGAGUCAGUAGUUCAGGCAUAGUUGAAGGAUUUGCACAAUGCUUGGGGGAUUUAAGUGUAUCAGAUUGCUCCUCUUGUAUAGCAGAUGCAGUUGGAAAGCUGAAAAGCUUAUGUGGAUCAGCAGCAGCAGCUGAUUUGUUCUUGGGACAAUGUUAUGCUCGAUACUGGGCCUCUGGUUAUUAUCAUGAAUCAGUGAACCUCAGCAUCCCACUGGUUUCAUUCAAGUACUGACUUGAUUUGGCAUAAAGCUGCAAUUGAAAGAAGAUAGCAUGGAAUCUGAGAAACAUGUUUUAACCACCAACAACUAAAGAUUCCUCCAACAAUGAUCAAGUGGGGAAAUCGGUUGCCAUUAUUGUGGGAGUGUUUGCAGGUCUUGCCGUUCUAGUUGUAAUCCUCUCAAUUUGCAAAACAGCAGCGGGUUAAGAGAGAGGUGCUAAAAGGGGUAAUCAUUACGAAAGGUCCUCAAAUGUUUGUUUAAAUUUAUUGAAAACCUUGCUUCCACAUUUUGAUCAAUUUAAUACGUUAUGUUUUUCCACCAAAGAAAAUGGAUGUAAUCUUUUAGUUUAUAAAGAACUAAAAGUAGAACUCUGUUAUCCAUCAACUUAGAAAGUGCAGCCGAUUGUCUUUGCCUUGGUGAUGUCCAACAAAACCCAUCAUUCUUUUCCAUAUUUUAAAAUCAUUUGUAGAUUAUUCUGUUGAUUACUUCUUCCUAAAUUACUUUGCCUUUUUAUUGUGUUGA
This is an RNA transcript of Glycine soja, 1609 nucleotides long. It is a transcript of the gene named plasmodesmata-located protein 8-like, with no coding region annotated. NCBI's taxonomy places the organism in Eukaryota, Viridiplantae, Streptophyta, Magnoliopsida, Fabales, Fabaceae. The transcript is spliced from 4 exons. The record is from RefSeq and is a predicted model, not a curated record.